AUUGAACGCUGGCGGCAUGCUUUACACAUGCAAGUCGAACGGCAGCGCGGGCUUCGGCCUGGCGGCGAGUGGCGAACGGGUGAGUAAUGCAUCGGAACGUGCCCAGUAGUGGGGGAUAGCCCGGCGAAAGCCGGAUUAAUACCGCAUACGACCUGAGGGUGAAAGCGGGGGACCGAAAGGCCUCGCGCUAUUGGAGCGGCCGAUGUCGGAUUAGCUAGUUGGUGGGGUAAAGGCUUACCAAGGCGACGAUCCGUAGCUGGUCUGAGAAGACGACCAGCCACACUGGGACUGAGACACGGCCCAGACUCCUACGGGAGGCAGCAGUGGGGAAUUUUGGACAAUGGGGGCAACCCUGAUCCAGCCAUGCCGCGUGCGGGAAGAAGGCCUUCGGGUUGUAAACCGCUUUUGUUCGGGAAGAAAUCCUCUGGGCUAAUACCCCGGGGGGAUGACGUUACCGGAAGAAUAAGCACCGGCUAACUACGUG
Molecule: ribosomal RNA, 484 nt
Filed under: uncultured bacterium
Lineage: Bacteria
Description: partial 16S ribosomal RNA
Rfam family: Bacterial small subunit ribosomal RNA
Source: RNAcentral